GGUAUUUUGGACUAAUUGGUAAGUCGUCCGACACUAAAAAUAAUUAACUCAUCUCGGAAAAUGCAGGUUCGAAUCCUGAGAAUACCA
This 87-nucleotide transfer RNA is filed under the name Bacteroides sp. RNAcentral describes it as "tRNA-OTHER". It matches the Rfam family "tRNA". Rfam says of the family: Transfer RNA (tRNA) molecules are approximately 80 nucleotides in length. Their secondary structure includes four short double-helical elements and three loops (D, anti-codon, and T loops). The record is from RNAcentral. Lineage: Bacteria; Pseudomonadati; Bacteroidota; Bacteroidia; Bacteroidales; Bacteroidaceae.